AGUGAACGCUGGCGGUAGGCCUAACACAUGCAAGUCGAACGGCAGCACAGUAAGAGCUUGCUCUUACGGGUGGCGAGUGGCGGACGGGUGAGGAAUACAUCGGAAUCUACUUUUUCGUGGGGGAUAACGUAGGGAAACUUACGCUAAUACCGCAUACGACCUACGGGUGAAAGCAGGGGAUCUUCGGACCUUGCGCGAUUGAAUGAGCCGAUGUCGGAUUAGCUAGUUGGCGGGGUAAAGGCCCACCAAGGCGACGAUCCGUAGCUGGUCUGAGAGGAUGAUCAGCCACACUGGAACUGAAACACGGUCCAGACUCCUACGGGAGGCAGCAGUGGGGAAUAUUGCACAAUGGGCGCAAGCCUGAUCCAGCCCUACCGCGUGGGUGAAGAAGGCCUUCGGGUUGUAAAGCCCUUUUGUUGGGAAAGAAAAGCAGCAGGUUAAUACCCCGCUGUUCUGACGGUACCCAAAGAAUAAGCACCGGCUAACUUCGUG
Molecule: ribosomal RNA, 492 nt
Filed under: uncultured bacterium
Lineage: Bacteria
Description: partial 16S ribosomal RNA
Rfam family: Bacterial small subunit ribosomal RNA
Source: RNAcentral